GAACACAAAAUGGCGACACGUGGUUAGCAUUCGUCGCCAACGAGAAAUUGGGGUCGGCCCGAAAGCUCUAGAAUGCACCCCUCUUCCUCCCCGGGGCCUUCCACCUCCGCGAGUUUUAUGACUUAAAAAAGCCCACAGGCUGGUCUGAAGAGGAAGACAAACAUAAAGAUGAAGUGCUUAAUUCAAGGUCACACAAUGUCGGGGAUGGACCUCCAGAUUUCCUUACUGGAAAACAAGCUCAGGGCUCCCACUGAUUGUACAUUAUGAGACGGAGUCUUGCUAUGUUGCCCAGGCUGGUCUUGAACUCCUCACCUCAAGCGAUCCUCCCGUCUUGGCCUCCCAAGUGUCAGGAUUACGGGCAUGUGCUAUCACACCCAACCUGAUACAUUGCCUUUAUAAAUUUUUUUUUCUUUAUUCUAAAAACCAGAAAAAACAAAACUGGAUACAUGUGCAGAACAUGCAGGUGAGACGUGGUCUUGUAACACAGUGGUUAAGAAUGUGACUUUGGAGCCAGCCUGCUAGGGGCUGAAUUCUGACUCAGCCAUUUACUAACUG
RNAcentral lists this long non-coding RNA (555 nucleotides) under Homo sapiens (human). Its description in RNAcentral is "non-protein coding PCBP1-AS1:294". Lineage: Eukaryota; Metazoa; Chordata; Mammalia; Primates; Hominidae. The record is from RNAcentral.